CAAUAGCGUAUAUUUAAGUUGUUGCAGUUAAAAAGCUCGUAGUUGGAUUUCGGGUGGGACGCAGCGGUCUCGCGUUGCGUUUGUACUGCUGCAGCCCUCCUUCUUGCCGGGGGCGGCCUCUCGGACUUCACUGUCUGGGGGUCAGAAUCGGCGAUGUUACUUUGAGUAAAUUAGAGUGUUCAAAGCAAGCUUACGCUCUGAAUAUAAUAGCAUGGGAUAACACGACAGGACUCUGGCCUAUCGUGUUGGUCUAUAGGACCAGAGUAAUGAUUAAGAGGGACAGUCGGGGGCAUUCGUAUUCCGUUGUCAGAGGUGAAAUUCCUGGAUUUACGGAAGACGAACAUCUGCGAAAGCAUUUGCCAAGGAUGUUUUCAUUG
Molecule: ribosomal RNA, 377 nt
Filed under: uncultured eukaryote
Lineage: Eukaryota
Description: partial 18S ribosomal RNA
Rfam family: Eukaryotic small subunit ribosomal RNA
Source: RNAcentral